CAGCCGCCGCGGGAAUACGAAGGGGGCUAGCGUUGUUCGGAUUUACUGGGCGUAAAGGGCGCGUAGGCGGACUGAUAAGUCAGGGGUGAAAUCCCAAGGCUCAACCUUGGAACUGCCUUUGAUACUGUUUGUCUUGAGUUCGAGAGAGGUAAGUGGAACUGCGAGUGUAGAGGUGAAAUUCGUAGAUAUUCGCAAGAACACCAGUGGCGAAGGCGGCUUACUGGCUCGAAACUGACGCUGAGGCGCGAAAGCGUGGGGAGCAAACAGGAUUAGAGACCCCCGUAGUCCCUGUCUCUUAUAA
RNAcentral lists this ribosomal RNA (301 nucleotides) under uncultured bacterium. RNAcentral describes it as "partial 16S ribosomal RNA". It matches the Rfam family "Bacterial small subunit ribosomal RNA", at positions 509 to 809 of the family's 1533-position model. The record is from RNAcentral.